UUUAACUCAGCCAGUUUAGCCUGUGUUAAAGGCAGUGUGCCUUGUCUAGACUAGACUUAAAAUGUGUUUCUUAGUCUGUGUUAAGAUGUGCUUUAACAUCACAGCCUUAACUCCUAGUUCAGAUAAGGCCUUAUUUUUUCUGAUACAUUUGUAGAUACAUGUGAUGUAUUCAGAACUCUUACAGUAGCAUUUCACUCAUAUUCAGAAUUUUUAACAUUGCUGGGUUAAGAACCUUCUAAAAGCUGCCCUGUUUCUUUAAGAGAAGUCUUUGGAAGGGACAUACCCAUAGCAAAACUCUCUUAAACUUCCAUGGAUUGGUUAUCCUCUCAUGACUGGCAAGGCUAAAGCAUUGUCUCUGUUUCUAAUUGGUUGGUCUUUUUAUCCAUCAUUCACCCUAUUCUGAGCUUUGUGGACAUCAGGCUACUUUGAGAGAAACAUGAAAGAGAUUUUUCAUGGUGCCAUGAAUUUUGACUUCUUUGUGAUUAACAUACUGUAUAAAUAAAUAUACACAAGGCUAAAGGUUUACACUGAUGUUGAAAGUGCAACUCAACAGCAGCAUUAUGUGUUUGAACGGAACAGAAGUGAGAAACUAAGACAACUCAAAAAAGAAUGAUCAAAAGAGGAUGUCGACAGGAGAAUGCAGGAAGCUUUAGAAGCCUGAAUCUCUAGCCACACGGAUGACUCUGUUGCUGCCCUUAAUGCUAGAAUCAGGAGAAAGCUCCAUACCAGAUCUUCAGAAGCAGAACUACUACAGCCUCCUGAGCAGAAACUUCUGCAGUGUGAACAAUAGGCAAAGAUGCACAGCAGCUAUCAUGAAGUAAGAGAGCUGUAUCGGACAUACUUUGUAUGAAAUCACUUGCUUUCACAUACCAUGCAUUUCACACCAGCAAAGGCAAACACUGUACAUGUGACUUGAUCAAUAUAGUCUCUAGAUUUCAGUGGUAAUGGUAAUUUUUAGGUCAAGAAGUAAUCGUGAGUGGGAAAGGUGGGGUAUUAGGUGCUCAUGGAAGUAUAGCACAGUAGUUGGGAUCAAGGGUGGGAUUUUGAGAAGCACCCAGCAAUGAUCUAACUCUGCUUCCAUUUAAGUCAAUGGUAAAACUCCUGUCUACUUGAAUGAGAGACAAGUUAACCCAAUGCCGAGCAUUUUUAAAUAUCCUACCCUUGGUCAUUUUCACUGUCUAAGGGGGUCUAGGGUUUUGCCAUUGACUUUACAGGUAGAAUGAUUGACAGGGCCGGCUUCAGCUUUUUUGCCACCCCAAGUGGCGAAGCGGGGGGCAAAAAAAGAUGAAGCCGCGAUUGGCAGCACUUUGGAGGCUCUACCGCGCCGCUUCAUUCUUCAGCGGCAAUUCGACGGCGGACCCGCUGCCGAAUUGCCGCCGAAGACCCAGAUGUGCCGCCCCUUUCCAUUGGCCGCCCCAAGCACCUGCUUCCUUUGCUGGUGCCUGGAGCCGGCCCUGAUGAUUGACCCCAAAAUAAUUAAAUGACUUGGGAUACAGUGUUAGCUUAAAGGUGUUAUGGCCAUGACUUUUGAGGAUUGUUUGGUAAUAUUCAGGUAGACAAUCCGAAAACCAAGGUGCCAAGUUUAAAGAUGCUGAAUAACAUGAUGAUAAAAGCUUUGUUAAUCAAAAUAAACUAUUACCUUGAUUCUUCUCUCAUUUGUACUGGUGUAAAUCAGGAGUAAUUUAACUGACACACGGAGUUACACUGGUGUAAUUCUAGUACAAGUGAGAGGAGAUUGCAACACUACAGUCUUAGGUGAAAUGUUUCUGUUUUGUUAAACCUCAUUGUUGGGUGGGUUCUGGUUACUUUUGCCAUUUACCAGUCUAAAGGCUACAGUUGUACAAUUUGUUAAAGGAAUGCUAUGAGGUUAAAAAAAACUUCUUUACAAUUCCUUACCUAUGUUAUUAAUAAAACAUGAGAUUAUAAAUUAA
Molecule: non-coding RNA, 1931 nt
Organism: Chrysemys picta bellii (western painted turtle)
Lineage: Eukaryota; Metazoa; Chordata; Testudines; Emydidae
Source: RefSeq, a predicted model, not a curated record